Molecule: ribosomal RNA, 467 nt
Filed under: uncultured bacterium
Lineage: Bacteria
Description: partial 16S ribosomal RNA
Rfam family: Bacterial small subunit ribosomal RNA
Source: RNAcentral
ACGAACGCUGGCGGCGUGCUUAACACAUGCAAGUCGAACGGAAAGGCCCUGCUUUUGUGGGGUGCUCGAGUGGCGAACGGGUGAGUAACACGUGAGUAACCUGCCCUUGACUUUGGGAUAACUUCAGGAAACUGGGGCUAAUACCGGAUAGGAGCUCCUGCUGCAUGGUGGGGGUUGUAAAGUUUCGGCGGUUGGGGAUGGACUCGCGGCGUAUCAGCUUGUUGGUGGGGUAGUGGCUUACCAAGGCUUUGACGGGUAUCCGGCCUGAGAGGGUGACCGGCGACAUUGAGAAGGAGAUAAGGACCAGACUCCUACGGAGGGCAGGAGUGGGGAAUAUUGCACAAUGGGCGGAAGCCUGAUGCAGAAACGCCGCGUGCGGGAUGACGGCCUUCGAGUGGUAAACCGAUUUCGCCUGUGACGAAGCGUGAGUGACGGUAAUGGGUAAAGAAGCACCGGCUAACUACGUG